RNAcentral lists this ribosomal RNA (253 nucleotides) under uncultured bacterium. Its description in RNAcentral is "partial 16S ribosomal RNA". It matches the Rfam family "Bacterial small subunit ribosomal RNA", at positions 524 to 776 of the family's 1533-position model. The record is from RNAcentral.
GACGGAGGGGGCAAGCGUUGUUCGGAAUUAUUGGGCGGAAAGGGCUCGUAGGCGGCCAACUAAGUCAGACGUGAAAUCCCUCGGCUUAACCGGGGAACUGCGUCUGAUACUGGAUGGCUUGAGUUUGGGAGAGGGAUGCGGAAUUCCAGGUGUAGCGGUGAAAUGCGUAGAUAUCUGGAGGAACACCGGUGGCGAAGGCGGCAUCCUGGACCAACACUGACGCUGAGGAGCGAAAGCCAGGGGAGCAAACGGG